RNAcentral lists this ribosomal RNA (708 nucleotides) under uncultured Nitrososphaerota archaeon. RNAcentral's name for it is "bacterial SSU rRNA". It matches the Rfam family "Archaeal small subunit ribosomal RNA", at positions 1 to 716 of the family's 1478-position model. Lineage: Archaea; Thermoproteati; Nitrososphaerota. The record is from RNAcentral.
UUCCGGUUGAUCCUGCCGGACCUGACUGCUAUCGGAUUGAUACUAAGCCAUGCGAGUCAUUGUAGCAAUACAAGGCAUACGGCUCAGUAACGCGUAGUCAACCUAACCUAUGGACGGGAAUAACCUCGGGAAACUGAGAAUAAUGCCCGAUAGAACAUCAUGCCUGGAAUGGUUUAUGUUCCAAAUGAUUUAUCGCCGUAGGAUGGGACUGCGGCCUAUCAGUUUGUCGGUGAGGUAAUGGCCCACCAAGACUAUUACAGGUACGGGCUCUGAGAGGAGUAGCCCGGAGAUGGGUACUGAGACACGGACCCAGGCCCUAUGGGGCGCAGCAGGCGAGAAAACUUUGCAAUGUGCGAAAGCACGACAAGGUUAAUCCGAGUGGUUUCUGCUAAAGGAACCUUUUGUCAGUCCUAGAAACACUGAUGAAUAAGGGGUGGGCAAGUUCUGGUGUCAGCCGCCGCGGUAAAACCAGCACCUCAAGUGGUCAGGAUGAUUAUUGGGCCUAAAGCAUCCGUAGCCGGCUAUGUAAGUUUUCGGUUAAAUCUGUACGCUCAACGUACAGGCUGCCGGGAAUACUGCAAAGCUAGGGAGAGGGAGAGGUAGACGGUACUCGGUAGGAAGGGGUAAAAUCCUUUGAUCUGUUGAUGACCACCUGUGGCGAAGGCGGUCUACCAGAACACGUCCGACGGUGAGGGAUGAAAGCUGGGG